UACGGGGGGAGCAAGCGUUGUCCGGAAUCAUUGGGCGUAAAGCGCGCGUAGGCGGCCCUGUAAGUCCGUUGUGAAAGUCAAAGGCUCAACCUUUGAAAGCCGAUGGAUACUGCAGGGCUAGAGUCCGGAAGAGGCGAGUGGAAUUCCUGGUGUAGCGGUGGAAUGCGCAGAUAUCAGGAGGAACACCAAUAGCGAAGGCAGCUCGCUGGGACGGUACUGACGCUAAGGCGCGAAAGCGUGGGGAGCGAACAGG
RNAcentral lists this ribosomal RNA (253 nucleotides) under uncultured bacterium. RNAcentral's name for it is "partial 16S ribosomal RNA". It matches the Rfam family "Bacterial small subunit ribosomal RNA", at positions 524 to 776 of the family's 1533-position model. The record is from RNAcentral.